This 334-nucleotide unclassified non-coding RNA is filed under the name soil metagenome. RNAcentral's name for it is "partial contains 5.8S ribosomal RNA, internal transcribed spacer 2, and large subunit ribosomal RNA". The stretch from base 1 to 120 matches the Rfam family "5.8S ribosomal RNA", at positions 35 to 154 of the family's 154-position model. The record is from RNAcentral.
GAUGAAGAACGUAGCGAAAUGCGAUAAGUAAUGUGAAUUGCAGAAUUCAGUGAAUCAUCGAAUCUUUGAACGCACAUUGCGCCCGCCAGUAUUCUGGCGGGCAUGCCUGUUCGAGCGUCAUUUCAACCAUCAAGCCCCCGGCUUGUGUUGGGGACCUGCGGCUGCCGCAGGCCCUGAAAACCAGUGGCGGGCUCGCUAGUCACUCCGAGCGUAGUAAUACAUCUCGCUCAGGGCGUGCUGCGGGUUCCGGCCGUUAAAAAGCCUUAUUUACCCAAGGUUGACCUCGGAUCAGGUAGGAAGACCCGCUGAACUUAAGCAUAUCAAAAGCGGAGGA